GUACUUCCUUCAGUAACAUAUGCACUAAAAUGGGAACAAUACUGAGAAAAUUAGCAUGGUCCCUGUGUAAAGAUGACAUGCAAAUUCAUGAAGUGAUCCACAUUUUA
This 107-nucleotide small nuclear RNA is filed under the name Salvator merianae (Argentine black and white tegu). Lineage: Eukaryota; Metazoa; Chordata; Lepidosauria; Squamata; Teiidae. The record is from RNAcentral.